This 388-nucleotide ribosomal RNA is filed under the name Pediococcus pentosaceus. RNAcentral describes it as "bacterial SSU rRNA". It matches the Rfam family "Bacterial small subunit ribosomal RNA", at positions 76 to 459 of the family's 1533-position model. Lineage: Bacteria; Bacillati; Bacillota; Bacilli; Lactobacillales; Lactobacillaceae. The record is from RNAcentral.
GAUUUUAACACGAAGUGAGUGGCGAACGGGUGAGUAACACGUGGGUAACCUGCCCAGAAGUAGGGGAUAACACCUGGAAACAGAUGCUAAUACCGUAUAACAGAGAAAACCGCAUGGUUUUCUUUUGAAAGAUGGCUCUGCUAUCACUUCUGGAUGGACCCGCGGCGUAUUAGCUAGUUGGUGAGGUAAAGGCUCACCAAGGCAGUGAUACGUAGCCGACCUGAGAGGGUAAUCGGCCACAUUGGGACUGAGACACGGCCCAGACUCCUACGGGAGGCAGCAGUAGGGAAUCUUCCACAAUGGACGCAAGUCUGAUGGAGCAACGCCGCGUGAGUGAAGAAGGGUUUCGGCUCGUAAAGCUCUGUUGUUAAAGAAGAACGUGGGUAAG